CCCAGUUCAGAUUGCAGGCUGCAACCCGCCUGCAUGAAGCCGGAAUCGCUAGUAAUCGCGGAUCAGCAUGCCGCGGUGAAUGUGUUCCUGAGCCUUGUACACACCGCCCGUCAAGCCACCAAAGUGGGGGGCAUCCGAAGUCGCCAAGCUAACCCUCUCCCGAGGGAGGCAGGCGCCGAAGAUGAACUCCGCGAUGGGGACUAAGUCGUAACAAGGUAGCCGUAGGGGAACCUGCGGCUGGAUCACCUCCUUUCUAAGGA
RNAcentral lists this ribosomal RNA (260 nucleotides) under Planctomycetota bacterium. RNAcentral's name for it is "Planctomycetes bacterium (hot springs metagenome) partial 16S ribosomal RNA". It matches the Rfam family "Bacterial small subunit ribosomal RNA", at positions 1287 to 1533 of the family's 1533-position model. Lineage: Bacteria; Pseudomonadati; Planctomycetota. The record is from RNAcentral.